UACGUAGGUGGCAAGCGUUGUCCGGAUGUAUUGGGGUUAAAGGGUGCGUAGGCGGCUUUGUAAGUCAGCGGUGAAAUACUCUAGCUUAACUAGAGGGGUGCCAUUGAUACUGCGGAGCUUGAGUACAGAUGAGGUAGGCGGAAUUGACGGUGUAGCGGUGAAAUGCAUAGAUAUCGUCAAGAACACCGAUAGCGAAGGCAGCUUACUGGGCUGUAACUGACGCUGAUGCACGAAAGUGUGGGGAUCAAACAGG
This 253-nucleotide ribosomal RNA is filed under the name uncultured bacterium. RNAcentral's name for it is "partial 16S ribosomal RNA". It matches the Rfam family "Bacterial small subunit ribosomal RNA", at positions 524 to 776 of the family's 1533-position model. The record is from RNAcentral.